GUAGUCAUAUGCUUGUCUCAAAGAUUAAGCCAUGCAUGUCUAAGUAUAAGCACUUGUACUGUGAAACUGCGAAUGGCUCAUUAAAUCAGUUAUCGUUUAUUUGAUUGUACCAUUUACUACUUGGAUAACCGUGGUAAUUCUAGAGCUAAUACAUGCGAAAAGUCCCGACUUCUGGAAGGGAUGUAUUUAUUAGAUUCAAAACCAAUGCGGGUUCGGCCCGGUUGUUUGGUGAUUCAUAGUAACUGUUCGAAUCGCACGGCCUUGCGCUGGCGAUGUUUCAUUCAAAUUUCUGCCCUAUCAACUGUCGAUGGUAAGGUAUUGGCUUACCAUGGUUACAACGGGUAACGGGGAAUG
This 354-nucleotide ribosomal RNA is filed under the name uncultured fungus. Its description in RNAcentral is "SSU rRNA". It matches the Rfam family "Eukaryotic small subunit ribosomal RNA", at positions 20 to 371 of the family's 1831-position model. Lineage: Eukaryota; Fungi. The record is from RNAcentral.